CCUGGAGAGGUCUCACCUCUCACUGCAAUGCACUCAGAGCCUAUCAGGUAGAAUUUUAUAAUGGUAUUCGGGGGAAAAAACUAUGAAGUUGCCAUGAUGAUCAGAAGUUUGAAAUUUUUGGGUUGGAAGAGAUCUUAUCUUUUGACUCCCCAACAUCCAUUCUCCUUCAGGUAAUGAUGCUCACUGGCUUCCUACAUUAUGAAUGUCAACAGCUCUACUGGGAAUCCCAGGCUCUACUCCCAAACUUCACCCUGUGUAGAUU
Diceros bicornis minor is the source of this 262-nucleotide long non-coding RNA. RefSeq lists it as uncharacterized. The transcript has 3 exons. The record is from RefSeq and is a predicted model, not a curated record. NCBI's taxonomy places the organism in Eukaryota, Metazoa, Chordata, Mammalia, Perissodactyla, Rhinocerotidae.